RNAcentral lists this ribosomal RNA (482 nucleotides) under uncultured bacterium. RNAcentral's name for it is "bacterial SSU rRNA". It matches the Rfam family "Bacterial small subunit ribosomal RNA", at positions 28 to 526 of the family's 1533-position model. The record is from RNAcentral.
GACGAACGCUGGCGGCGUGCCUAAUACAUGCAAGUCGAACGAGAUCCCGGAGCUUGCUCCGGGGGACAGUGGCGAACGGGUGAGUAACACGUGAGAAACCUGCCCUAGAGACCGGGACAACCGUUGGAAACGGCGGCUAAUACCGGAUGCCUUCACAUGGUCGCAUGGCCGAGUGAAGAAAUGCUCAGGUGCUCUAGGAGGGUCUCGCGGCCUAUCAGCUAGUUGGUGAGGUAACGGCUCACCAAGGCAUCGACGGGUAGCUGGUCUGAGAGGACGAUCAGCCACACUGGGACUGAGACACGGCCCAGACUCCUACGGGAGGCAGCAGUAGGGAAUCUUGCGCAAUGGGGGAAACCCUGACGCAGCAACGCCGCGUGUGGGAUGACGGCUUUCGGGUUGUAAACCACUUUCAGUGAUGACGAAAAUGACGGUAAUCACAGAAGAAGGUCCGGCCAACUACGUGCCAGCCGCCGCCGUAACAC